UACCGAGUACAGACAGAAGCCCAGGAA
Molecule: non-coding RNA, 27 nt
Filed under: Rattus norvegicus (Norway rat)
Lineage: Eukaryota; Metazoa; Chordata; Mammalia; Rodentia; Muridae
Source: RNAcentral